UCAAAAUCGAACCCAACACUUCCAUUUUUA
Molecule: non-coding RNA, 30 nt
Filed under: Mus musculus (house mouse)
Lineage: Eukaryota; Metazoa; Chordata; Mammalia; Rodentia; Muridae
Source: RNAcentral